CUUUCAUCGAGACCGAGCAUCCUGCGCGUCUUUUGGACCCGCUGCUCUGCGAGCAUCAUGCUGGAUGUGCUGCUGUUGAUGUUCUUCGCCAUCAUCGGCCUUGUGUUCCUGUCCUACAUCAUCUACGUGCUGUGAUCCCGCGCCGGUAGCACCGAUGCGCCGCCGUGAGAGCGCAAUCGUGACUCACGGGAGAGAUCUGAGCUCGCAGGAAGAAGCUCUGUUAAUGGGAUCAACGAGAUGUGAAUUCACUGGAGGAAACACUUACAAGAUGAGACUUCACCCAUAUCUCUGGGUCACACAAACACUGUUCCUAUAGCACAGCAGCUGAAACAAAACCUACACCAAACUGUUGUUUCACCCCUUUCAUUUAGCAGAUGUGUUGUUCAGAUGUGUUUUUCCCAAAGCAGGCUGAAACAGGAGAUCUAUGGAUGUCUGGCUAUUAUUUUUCCUUUUCUGUUCCUCUGUGUAGUAUUUCUGCAAAUAACUGUUUACAAAUUCCCAGUGCAAUGUACACUAUCAUCAAACUCAUGUAUUUUGUCAAAGGAUGUUCAUGAAUGACUGAUUUUUAAAAUAAAGAGCCUUCGUGAGGAUGAAA
Long non-coding RNA from Carassius carassius (crucian carp), 595 nucleotides. RefSeq lists it as uncharacterized. NCBI's taxonomy places the organism in Eukaryota, Metazoa, Chordata, Actinopteri, Cypriniformes, Cyprinidae. The transcript has 2 exons. The record is from RefSeq and is a predicted model, not a curated record.